GAAAUGCGAUAAGUAAUGUGAAUUGCAGAAUUCAGUGAAUCAUCGAAUCUUUGAACGCACCUUGCGCUCCUUGGUAUUCCGAGGAGCAUGCCUGUUUGAGUGUCAUGGAAUUCUCAACUCUAUUUGCUUUUGUGAAUAGAGCUUGGAUUUGGAGGUUUAUUGCUGGUACUUGUGAUCGGCUCCUCUUGAAUGCAUUAGCUCGAACCUUUGCGGAUCAGCUAUCGGUGUGAUAAUUGUCUACGCCGUUGCAGUGAAGCAUAUCAAUGGGCUCGGCUUCCAAUCGUCCUUUACUGGACAAUGACUUUGACCUUUGACCUCAAAUCAGUUAGGAUUCCCCGCUGAACUUAAGC
Molecule: unclassified non-coding RNA, 350 nt
Filed under: plant metagenome
Description: partial contains 5.8S ribosomal RNA, internal transcribed spacer 2, and large subunit ribosomal RNA
Rfam family: 5.8S ribosomal RNA (bases 1-105)
Source: RNAcentral